CAGUAGCCACGGGAAUACAGAGGUCUCAAGCGUUGUUCGGAUUCAUUGGGCGUAAAGGGAGCGUAGGCGGUCGGGUAAGUUGGAUGUGAAAUCCUGGGGCUCAACCUCAGAACUGCAUUCAAUACUGCUUGGCUAGAGUACUGGAGAGGUGAGUGGAAUUCACGGUGCAGCAGUGAAAUGCGUAGAUAUCGUGAGGAAGACCAGCGGCGAAGGCGGCUCACUGGACAGUUACUGACGCUGAUGCUCGAAGGCCAGGGGAGCAAACGGGAUUAGAGACCCCAGUAGUCCCUGUCUCUUAUAC
RNAcentral lists this ribosomal RNA (301 nucleotides) under uncultured bacterium. RNAcentral describes it as "partial 16S ribosomal RNA". It matches the Rfam family "Bacterial small subunit ribosomal RNA", at positions 509 to 807 of the family's 1533-position model. The record is from RNAcentral.